This 258-nucleotide ribosomal RNA is filed under the name uncultured bacterium. Its description in RNAcentral is "partial 16S ribosomal RNA". It matches the Rfam family "Bacterial small subunit ribosomal RNA", at positions 524 to 778 of the family's 1533-position model. The record is from RNAcentral.
UACGAAGGGGGCUAGCGUUGCUCGGAAUCACUGGGCGUAAAGCGCACGUAGGCGGAUUGCUAAGUCAGGGGGUGAAAUCCUGGAGCUCAACUCCAGAACUGCCUUUGAUACUGAGGAUCUUGAGUUCGGGAGAGGGUGAGUGGAACUGCGAGUGUAGAGGUGAAAUUCGUAGAUAUUCGCAAGAACACCAGUGGCGAAGGCGGCUCACUGGCCCGAUACUGACGCUGAGGCACGAAAGCGUGGGGGAGCAAACAGGGA